GACGAACGCUGACGGUGUGCUUUAGACAUGCAAGUCGAACGAGAAAGCCCUUCGGGGUGAGUACAGUGGCGAACGGGUGAGUAACACGUGGGCAAUCUGCCCCUCGCAGGGGGACAACCGUGGGAAACCGCGGCUAAUACCCCGUAAGCUCGAAAGGCCGCAUGGUUUUUCGAGGAAAGGUAGCUUCGGCCAUCCGGCGAGGGAUGAGCCCGCGGUGCAUUAGCUAGUUGGUGGGGUAACGGCCCACCAAGGCGACGAUGCAUAGCUGGUCUGAGAGGAUGAUCAGCCACACUGGGACUGAGACACGGCCCAGACUCCUACGGGAGGCAGCAGUCGGGAAUCUUGCGCAAUGGGCGAAAGCCUGACGCAGCAACACCGUGUGUGUGACGAAGGCCUUCGGGUCGU
Molecule: ribosomal RNA, 405 nt
Filed under: uncultured bacterium
Lineage: Bacteria
Description: bacterial SSU rRNA
Rfam family: Bacterial small subunit ribosomal RNA
Source: RNAcentral